GACGAACGCUGGCGGCGUGCCUAAUACAUGCAAGUAGAACGCACAGUUUAUACCGUAGCUUGCUCCACCAUAGACUGUGAGUUGCGAACGGGUGAGUAACGCGUAGGUAACCUGCCUGGUAGCGGGGGAUAACUAUUGGAAACGAUAGCUAAUACCGCAUAAUAUUAAUUAUUGCAUGAUAAUUAAUUGAAAGGUGCAAUUGCACCACUACCAGAUGGACCUGCGUUGUAUUAGCUAGUAGGUGAGGUAACGGCUCACCUAGGCGACGAUACAUAGCCGACCGGAGAGGGUGAUCGGCCACACUGGGACUGAGACACGGCCCAGACUCCUACGGGAGGCAGCAGUAGGGAAUCUUCGGCAAUGGACGAAAGUCUGACCGAGCAACGCCGCGUGAGUGAAGAAGGUUUUCGGAUCGUAAAGCUCUGUCGUAAGAGAAGAACGGGUGUGAGAGUGGAAAGUUCACACUGUGACGGUAUCUUACCAGAAAGGGACGGCUAACUACGUG
RNAcentral lists this ribosomal RNA (505 nucleotides) under uncultured bacterium. Its description in RNAcentral is "partial 16S ribosomal RNA". It matches the Rfam family "Bacterial small subunit ribosomal RNA", at positions 28 to 507 of the family's 1533-position model. The record is from RNAcentral.